This 236-nucleotide ribosomal RNA is filed under the name uncultured bacterium. RNAcentral describes it as "partial 16S ribosomal RNA". It matches the Rfam family "Bacterial small subunit ribosomal RNA", at positions 524 to 759 of the family's 1533-position model. The record is from RNAcentral.
UACGAAGGGGGCGAGCGUUGUUCGGAUUUACUGGGCGUAAAGGGCGCGCAGGCGGCUUAUUUUGUCAGGCGUGAAAGCCCCGGGCUUAACCUGGGAACUGCGUUUGAUACGGAUGGGCUAGAGUUCGGGAGAGGAGAGUGGAAUUCCCAGUGUAGAGGUGAAAUUCGUAGAUAUUGGGAAGAACACCGGUGGCGAAGGCGGCUCUCUGGACCGAUACUGACGCUGAGGCGCGAAAG